This 856-nucleotide ribosomal RNA is filed under the name uncultured bacterium. Its description in RNAcentral is "bacterial SSU rRNA". It matches the Rfam family "Bacterial small subunit ribosomal RNA", at positions 26 to 898 of the family's 1533-position model. The record is from RNAcentral.
AGGAUGAACGCUGGCGGCGUGCUUAACACAUGCAAGUCGAACGAUUAAAGCCCUUUCGGGGGUGUAUAAAGUGGCGAACGGUGAGUAACACGUGGGCAACCUACCCUUCACUCUGGGAUAACUCAGGGAAACUUGAGCUAAUACCGGAUACUCCGGACUGAUCGCAUGGUCGGUCCGGGAAAGCUCCGGCAGUGAGGGAUGGGCCCGCGGUCCAUUAGCUUGUUGGUGGGGUAACGGCUCACCAAGGCUGCGAUGGAUAGCCGAGCUGAGAGGCUGAUCGGCCACACUGGGACUGAGACACGGCCCAGACUCCUACGGGAGGCAGCAGUGGGGAAUUUUGCGCAAUGGGCGAAAGCCUGACGCAGCAACGCCGCGUGCGGGAUGAAGGCCUUCGGGUUGUAAACCGCUUUCAGCAGGGACGAAAUUGACGGUACCUGCAGAAGAAGCCCCGGCUAAAUACGUGCCAGCAGCCGCGGUAAUACGUAUGGGGCAAGCGUUAUCCGGAUUCAUUGGGCGUAAAGAGCGCGUAGGUGGCUUGUUAAGCGAGAUGUGAAAACCGGGGGCUCAACCCGCGGCCUGCAUCUCGAACUGGCAGGCUUGAGUCUGGUAGAGGAGUGUGGAAUUCCUAGUGUAGCGGUGAAAUGCGCAGAUAUUAGGAGGAACACCAGUGGCGAAGGCGGCACUCUGGGCCAGCACUGACACUGAGGCGCGAAAGCUAGGGGAGCAAACAGGAUUAGAUACCCUGGUAGUCCUAGCCGUAAACGAUGGGCACUAGGUGUGGGGGGUCAUCAACUCCCUCCGUGCCGCAGCUAACGCAUUAAGUGCCCCGCCUGGGGAGUACGACCGCAAGGUUAAA